Molecule: ribosomal RNA, 483 nt
Filed under: Aggregatibacter aphrophilus
Lineage: Bacteria; Pseudomonadati; Pseudomonadota; Gammaproteobacteria; Pasteurellales; Pasteurellaceae
Description: bacterial SSU rRNA
Rfam family: Bacterial small subunit ribosomal RNA
Source: RNAcentral
AUUGAACGCUGGCGGCAGGCUUAACACAUGCAAGUCGAACGGUAGCAGGUAAGUACUUGUACUUAUGCUGACGAGUGGCGGACGGGUGAGUAAUGCUUGGGGAUCUGGCUUAUGGAGGGGGAUAACGACGGGAAACUGUCGCUAAUACCGCGUAGAAUCGAGAGAUGAAAGUGUGGGACCUUCGGGCCACAUGCCAUAGGAUGAACCCAAGUGGGAUUAGGUAGUUGGUGGGGUAAUGGCCUACCAAGCCGACGAUCUCUAGCUGGUCUGAGAGGAUGACCAGCCACACCGGGACUGAGACACGGCCCGGACUCCUACGGGAGGCAGCAGUGGGGAAUAUUGCGCAAUGGGGGCAACCCUGACGUAGCCAUGCCGCGUGAAUGAAGAAGGCCUUCGGGUUGUAAAGUUCUUUCGGUGACGAGGAAGGUUGUUGUGUGAAUAGCACAACAAAUUGACGUUAAUCACAGAAGAAGCACCGGCUAA